Molecule: long non-coding RNA, 1425 nt
Organism: Oncorhynchus tshawytscha (Chinook salmon)
Lineage: Eukaryota; Metazoa; Chordata; Actinopteri; Salmoniformes; Salmonidae
Exons: 3
Source: RefSeq, a predicted model, not a curated record
AUUUUCAAUGAGGGCACGCAGAGAAAUGUGCAGGGGAAUGUGGGAAGGUGUGCGGCGAGAAUCCUGCUAGCGGAGCGGGAGAAAAAGUUGAGCUCUGCUCUAUGCAAAUUUAAAGCGAAGGAAAGCAUUGGAGCGAAGCGCCGCCUCUGGUCAAAACCCUACGCUAGGAGUUGGCAUGACAGCACAAAGAGAUCUGGGACCAGGUUAGAGGUAAAAGUAUUACUCUACCGGGCUUCGAAAUCAGCACAGAAAACCAUGGCAACAACAAAGCCUGGGUUUAACCUUGGACGGUCUUUGCACACACAUAAUGAACUUCAUCGACACACGACACGGUACAUGUCGCCCAUGUUAUUCUGUCAUUCACUAUCAACUUCGAGGGUACGCUGCUCUUCUGAUCUGUUCCUGCAUCAUUGCCAUUGGUUUAUUGGUCUCCAUUGCAGGAACAGCUAGCUUCCCAGUACAACUUCAGUGUUUACAAGCACAACCGCUACAGAUGGCAGAAGCGCAUUCUUCAGAUUGACUUCAACACCAAAAUGGUGUGCAGUAUAGAGAAAGGCACCGUAAAGCGGCAGCUGCCCUUCAAUGUGUUAAGAGCUGCGAUGACAGAGUUGGGGCCAAGCUCUCCGUCUCUUUCAGAGGAAGACAUGACUAUGAGCUGGAGGCCACGUCACUGGAGGACAAACACAAGAUGGAGAAAUCAUUCUGGACACGGGGAAAUGCUGGGAAGAUUGAAAUGGACACGUCACGCUUGUACGAGCAAUUUGCAGUUCAAGAUUUGGGAACAUUCGGUGGGAUCACCGAGCACAGCAAUAACUUCCACAUCAUGCUCAACACGAAGGUGGCACACAACUUUAGUAAGUAGCUCCUCAAUUACUUGAGGUGAUGCGAUGGACCAACUAUAUGCUCUUCAUUUGAAAUUAAUCUGGGGUUGCAUACAAGUUAUAUAUCAGACCCAUCAACAGAUUUCUUUGAAACUGCUUUGAGUUUUAGAAGAAGUAACACCUUUUGAAACCACCAGAUGGUAGCACUUAACAGGAAAGUCAAUGAGCUUUACAUUGGCUGUAAUGACUCACUCCAUCUGAUCUCUAUAUCACAUGUAUUUGCUUGUGAAAAGCUGCUAAACAUUUCGUACAGUAGCUACAUAACAAGACGCAAGAUAUAAACAACAGCAAAGCCUUAUUAGGUAAGUAUCGGAAUAGAAAUAGGCUUCGACCCAGAUGCGCAAUAUGCAUAAUGACAGUCAUUUAUUUAAUCUUUCAGCUUUCUCUAAAAUAUUCAUUUAUUCUGGGGGAAUACCUGAAUGGGUUAAUGCCAUGUGCCCUUCAUCACUAUUAACCCUGCUCCGCCCACAACCGUAAGGCUCUCCAGAGGGUAGUGAGGUCUGCACAACGCAUCACCGGGGGCAAACUACCUGCCGUCCAGGAC